CAGCGCCGCGGGAAUACGAAGGGUGCAAGCGUUACUCGGAAUUACUGGGCGUAAAGCGUGCGUAGGUGGUGGUUUAAAUCCGUUGUGAAAGCCCUGGGCUCAACCUGGGAAUUGCAGUGGAUACUGGGUCACUAGAGUGUGGUAGAGGAUAGUGGAAUUUCCGGUGUAGCAGUGAAAUGCGUAGAGAUCGGAAGGAACAUCUGUGGCGAAGGCGACUAUCUGGGCCAACACUGACACUGAGGCACGAAAGCGUGGGGAGCAAACAGGAUUAGAUACCCGUGUAGUCCCUGUCUCUUAUACA
RNAcentral lists this ribosomal RNA (301 nucleotides) under uncultured bacterium. RNAcentral describes it as "partial 16S ribosomal RNA". It matches the Rfam family "Bacterial small subunit ribosomal RNA", at positions 509 to 808 of the family's 1533-position model. The record is from RNAcentral.